Molecule: non-coding RNA, 86 nt
Organism: Bos taurus (domestic cattle)
Lineage: Eukaryota; Metazoa; Chordata; Mammalia; Artiodactyla; Bovidae
Source: Rfam
CUCACCUGGAUAGCUUGUUAAAAUGCAGAUUCCACUUCAGUGGGCCUGGGAUUCUGCAUUUCUAACAAGUUCCCAGGUGUUGCGAA